GGUGGAAUUGUAAGUCAGAGGUGAAAACCAUAGGCUUAACUUGUGGCCUGCCUUUGAAACUGCGAUUCUUGAGUGCGGUAGAGGGAAGCGGAAUUCCUGGUGUAGCGGUGAAAUGCGUAGAUAUCAGGAAGAACACCGGUAGCGAAGGCGGCUUCCUGGGCCGUAACUGACACUGAGGCGCGAAAGUGUGGGGAGCAAACAGGAUUAGAUACCCUGGUAGUCCACACUGUAAACGAUGGGCACUAGGUGUUGAUUCGCCAACAAGCGGAUCAGUGCCGCAGCUAACGCAUUAAGUGCCCCGCCUGGGGAGUACGAUCGCAAGGUUGAAACUCAAAGGAAUUGACGGGGGCCCGCACAAGCGGUGGAGCAUGUGGUUUAAUUCGAUGCAACGCGAAGAACCUUACCUGGGCUUGAAGUGCAGUCGCAAUUCGCCGAAAGGCGAACCUCCUUCGGGACGGCUGUAGAGGUGCUGCAUGGCUGUCGUCAGCUCGUGCCGUGAGGUGUUGGGUUAAGUCCCGCAACGAGCGCAACCCUUGCCCUUAGUUGCCAUCAGGUUAUGCUGGGCACUCUAAGGGGACUGCCCCGAAUAACGGGGAGGAAGGUGGGGAUGACGUCAAGUCCUCAUGGCCCUUACGUCCAGGGCUACACACGUGCUACAAUGGCAAGUACAACGGGAAGCAAUACCGCGAGGUGGAGCAAAUCCCUAAAAACUGGUCUCAGUUCGGAUUGCAGUCU
RNAcentral lists this ribosomal RNA (735 nucleotides) under uncultured bacterium. RNAcentral's name for it is "bacterial SSU rRNA". It matches the Rfam family "Bacterial small subunit ribosomal RNA", at positions 574 to 1306 of the family's 1533-position model. The record is from RNAcentral.